CCGACCAUAGCUCAGUUGGAAGAGCACAAGACUGUAAUUGGUUAACUUAUCUUGGGGUCGCCUGUUCGAACCAGGCUGGUCGGA
RNAcentral lists this transfer RNA (84 nucleotides) under Lentinula raphanica. It matches the Rfam family "tRNA". From Rfam's summary of the family: Transfer RNA (tRNA) molecules are approximately 80 nucleotides in length. Lineage: Eukaryota; Fungi; Basidiomycota; Agaricomycetes; Agaricales; Omphalotaceae. The record is from Rfam by way of RNAcentral.